AAAGUGUGUGUGUGUGUGUGUGUGUGUGUGUGUGUGUGUGUGUGUGUGUGUGUGUGUGUGUGUGUGUGUGUGUGUGUGUGUGUGUGUGUGUGUGUGUGUGUGUGUGUGUGUGUGUGUGUGUGUGUGUGUGUGUGUGUGUGUGUGUGUGUGUGUGUGUGUGUGUGAACAACCCGAGUUGCCCCAAGAGGACUUGGCAGCAAAUUAAAAUGAAGUACAAAAAUAUAGUUCAAACAGGUAAACUAAUGUUUAAUUGAAAUCAAAUCAAUUGUGCUGUUUUGCCUGCUCUACCUAAUUUAACAGCUAUAUUCAACAUGUGAUGGGUCUAUAUUUAAGCAGUAAAUGUAAGUAGUACAUUUCUCAGCUACCCCAACACUGCCAAUAUUUAAUAGGAUUUAGAUAUAUUAGAAGCUCCUAGGCAAAAUGCAUUAUAUGUAUGUAUGUAUGUGUAUAUACAUAUAUAUGUGUCUUCAAAAUAGCGCUUACUGAAUAUUAGGGUAACAUUUUCCUCCAUGUUAGCAAAUCGAAAAAAAAGCAGAGGCCCGGAAGACUGGAGGGGGUCCACCACCUGCAGCCCUCACAGUGGCUGAGGAGAUGGCCCUCAGCCAACAGAGUAUGCGUCCUGUGGAUGAGGGCAUCCCUGGAGGGAGCUCCUCUGAUCCCCCCACCCCCCAGGAUAGAAGUGCCUUUAUCAGAGUUACUGAUGGCGUCAUCGCCCUACUGGAACCAGAUGCCCUCACCAACCUCCAUGCAAUUGAAGAUGAUGGAGAAACAUUGUCUGCGGCAUUUGAAAGGGAAGAGGAAAGCCCUAUUGAGG
Molecule: long non-coding RNA, 814 nt
Organism: Gadus macrocephalus (Pacific cod)
Lineage: Eukaryota; Metazoa; Chordata; Actinopteri; Gadiformes; Gadidae
Exons: 3
Source: RefSeq, a predicted model, not a curated record